RNAcentral lists this transfer RNA (70 nucleotides) under Pao cochinchinensis. RNAcentral's name for it is "tRNA-Pro". It matches the Rfam family "tRNA". Rfam says of the family: Transfer RNA (tRNA) molecules are approximately 80 nucleotides in length. Their secondary structure includes four short double-helical elements and three loops (D, anti-codon, and T loops). Further hydrogen bonds mediate the characteristic L-shaped molecular structure. tRNAs have two regions of fundamental functional importance: the anti-codon, which is responsible for specific mRNA codon recognition, and the 3' end, to which the tRNAs corresponding amino acid is attached (by aminoacyl-tRNA synthetases). tRNAs cope with the degeneracy of the genetic code in two manners: having more than one tRNA (with a specific anti-codon) for a particular amino acid; and 'wobble' base-pairing, i.e. permitting non-standard base-pairing at the 3rd anti-codon position. The record is from RNAcentral. Lineage: Eukaryota; Metazoa; Chordata; Actinopteri; Tetraodontiformes; Tetraodontidae.
CAAAAAGUAGUUUAACUGAGGAUGCUGGCUUUGGGAGCCAGUGGCGGGGGUUAGAAUCCCCCCUUUUUGA